AGCCUGUGAUGUUCAAAUUGUCCGUACCAUCUGAGAUUAAGCUUUUUAACAAUUGCUCUGAUGCAUACACUAAUUCUUUAUUCUGAGGCUU
Molecule: small nucleolar RNA, 91 nt
Organism: Lupinus angustifolius (narrow-leaved blue lupine)
Lineage: Eukaryota; Viridiplantae; Streptophyta; Magnoliopsida; Fabales; Fabaceae
Rfam family: small nucleolar RNA snoR117
Source: Rfam